This 253-nucleotide ribosomal RNA is filed under the name uncultured bacterium. RNAcentral describes it as "partial 16S ribosomal RNA". It matches the Rfam family "Bacterial small subunit ribosomal RNA", at positions 524 to 776 of the family's 1533-position model. The record is from RNAcentral.
UACGAAGGGGGCUAGCGUUGUUCGGAAUUACUGGGCGUAAAGAGCGUGUAGGCGGUCUGGUAGGUCCGUUGUGAAAACUCGAGGCUCAACCUCGAGACGCCGAUGGAAACCCUCAGACUAGAGUCCGGAAGAGGAGAGUGGAAUUCCUGGUGUAGCGGUGAAAUGCGCAGAUAUCAGGAAGAACACCCGUGGCUAAGGCGGCUCUCUAGUACGGUACUGACGCUGAGACGCGAAAGCGUGGGGAGCGAACAGG